UGCAGUCGAACGGAAAGAGAUGAAAGAGCUUGCUCUUUUAUUAAUUUCAGUGGCAAACGGGUGAGUAACACGUAAACAACCUGCCUUAAGGAUGGGGAUAACAGACGGAAACGACUGCUAAUACCGAAUACGUUCUAAGCAUCGCAUGGUGCAUAGAAGAAAGGGUGGCCUCUACAAGAAAGCUACCGCCUUAAGAGGGGUUUGCGACUGAUUAGGUAGUUGGUGAGGUAACGGCUCACCAAGCCGACGAUCAGUAGCCGGUCUGAGAGGAUGAACGGCCACACUGGAACUGAGACACGGUCCAGACUCCUACGGGAGGCAGCAGUGGGGAAUCUUCCGCAAUGGACGAAAGUCUGACGGAGCAACGCCGCGUGAACGAAGAAGGUCUUCGGAUUGUAAAGUUCUGUGAUUCGGGACGAAAGGGUUUGUGGUGAAUAAUCAUAGACAUUGACGGUACCGAAAAAGCAAGCCACGGCUAACUACGUGCCAGCAGCCGCGGCAAUACGUAGGUGGCAAGCGUUGUCCGGAAUUAUUGGGCGUAAAGCGCGCGCAGGCGGUUUCUUAAGUCCAUCUUAAAAGCGUGGGGCUCAACCCCAUGAGGGGAUGGAAACUGGGAAGCUGGAGUAUCGGAGAGGAAA
This 638-nucleotide ribosomal RNA is filed under the name uncultured bacterium. Its description in RNAcentral is "bacterial SSU rRNA". It matches the Rfam family "Bacterial small subunit ribosomal RNA", at positions 56 to 660 of the family's 1533-position model. The record is from RNAcentral.